RNAcentral lists this ribosomal RNA (814 nucleotides) under uncultured bacterium. RNAcentral describes it as "bacterial SSU rRNA". It matches the Rfam family "Bacterial small subunit ribosomal RNA", at positions 672 to 1504 of the family's 1533-position model. The record is from RNAcentral.
AGUGUAGAGGUGAAAUUCGUAGAUAUUUGGAGGAACACCAGUGGCGAAGGCGGCUCACUGGCUCGAUACUGGCGCUGAGGUACGAAAGUGUGGGGAGCAAACAGGAUUAGAUACCCUGGUAGUCCACACCGUAAACGAUGAAUGCCAGACGUCAGCAAGCAUGCUUGUUGGUGUCACACCUAACGGAUUAAGCAUUCCGCCUGGGGAGUACGGUCGCAAGAUUAAAACUCAAAGGAAUUGACGGGGGCCCGCACAAGCGGUGGAGCAUGUGGUUUAAUUCGACGCAACGCGCAGAACCUUACCAACCCUUGACAUACUUGUCGCGGAUUCCAGAGAUGGAUUCCUUCAGUUCGGCUGGACAAUGUACAGGUGCUGCAUGGCUGUCGUCAGCUCGUGUCGUGAGAUGUUCGGUUAAGUCCGGCAACGAGCGCAACCCACGUCCUUAGUUACCAGCAUUUAGUUGGGUACCCUAAGGAGACUGCCGGUGAUAAGCCGGAGGAAGGUGUGGACGACGUCAAGUCAUCAUGGCCCUUACGGGUUGGGCUACACACGUGCUACAAUGGCAUCUACAGUGAGUUAAUCUCCAAAAGAUGUCUCAGUUCGGAUUGGGGUCUGCAACUCGACCCCAUGAAGUUGGAAUCGCUAGUAAUCGCGGAACAGCAUGCCGCGGUGAAUACGUUCCCGGGCCUUGUACACACCGCCCGUCACACCAUGGGAAUUGGGUCUACCCGAAGGUGGUGCGCCAACUAUUUAUAGAGGCAGCCAACCACGGUAGGUUCAGUGACUGGGGUGAAGUCGUAACAAGGUAGCCGUA